This 778-nucleotide ribosomal RNA is filed under the name uncultured bacterium. RNAcentral describes it as "bacterial SSU rRNA". It matches the Rfam family "Bacterial small subunit ribosomal RNA", at positions 28 to 795 of the family's 1533-position model. The record is from RNAcentral.
GUCGAACGCGUCUUGGUUAUUGAUGUUAGAUGCUUGCAUUUAACUGAUUUAACAUUGAGACGAGUGGCGAACUGGUGAGUAACGCGUGGGUAACCUGCCCUUGAAGUAGGGGAUAACACUUGGAAAUAGGUGCUAAUACCGUAUAACAACCAAAACCACCUGGUUUUGGUUUAAAAGAUGGCUUCGGCUAUCACUUUAGGAUGGACCCGCGGCGUAUUAGCUUGUUGGUAAGGUAACGGCCUACCAAGGCAAUGAUACGUAGCCGACCUGAGAGGGUAAUCGGCCACAUUGGGACUGAGACACGGCCCAAACUCCUACGGGAGGCAGCAGUAGGGAAUCUUCCACAAUGGACGCAAGUCUGAUGGAGCAACGCCGCGUGAGUGAAGAAGGUUUUCGGAUCGUAAAGCUCUGUUGUUGGUGAAGAAGGAUAGAGGUAGUAACUGGCCUUUAUUUGACGGUAAUCAACCAGAAAGUCACGGCUAACUACGUGCCAGCAGCCGCGGUAAUACGUAGGUGGCAAGCGUUGUCCGGAUUUAUUGGGCGUAAAGCGAGCGCAGGCGGAAAAAUAAGUCUAAUGUGAAAGCCCUCGGCUUAACCGAGGAACUGCAUCGGAAACUGUUUUUCUUGAGUGCAGAAGAGGAGAGUGGAACUCCAUGUGUAGCGGUGGAAUGCGUAGAUAUAUGGAAGAACACCAGUGGCGAAGGCGGCUCUCUGGUCUGCAACUGACGCUGAGGCUCGAAAGCAUGGGUAGCGAACAGGAUUAGAUACCCUGGUAGUA